Molecule: non-coding RNA, 727 nt
Organism: Pelobates cultripes (western spadefoot toad)
Lineage: Eukaryota; Metazoa; Chordata; Amphibia; Anura; Pelobatidae
Source: the annotation of a GenBank genome assembly
CAUAAAGGGUGGGACACACGUGAAAAGCGUGAAUUAGCCAGGAUUAAAUUUACAAUAGGGUGGUCGUUUAUUGAACUUGCCAGCCCCAUUGAGAGCUGCACGCGUGCAGAGCAUUUCUGAAGCACUCUGCCCAUAGGCUCAUUGUCCUGAGUGUAUGUUGUGUAGUGCAAACACAUCUAGUUGGAUGUUUGGUAACUAGUCCAGGACAACUUGAAAGGCAAAUUAUUCAGGAUGGUCCCACUGAAUGUUGGGGCAGGACCAGACAGUGCAUAGAGAUUACUUGGCACAUGCCAGUAGUCUACAGUUAGAAAGAGGAGAUCGAGGUAUCUCCCCAGCUGCCCCAUGCAGGGAGCUCAUAGGCUGGUUGGGGAGAUCAGAGAUCUCUCUCAUCAGCUCAGCUCACUCUCCCUCAUGGUGGACAGGCUGAGGGUAGGGCUUGUGUGUUACAGGGCCUAGCCAACAUAGGACGUCUGUCACUAACAUGGUACGCGUGCUUACAAUAGUUGCCCACUAUGCACAGAUUUAACAUUGCACAGCCUGGAAUUAUAUUUCUGGGCUGGAUAUUAGAAGUUUCAGACACAAAUAGAUUCAAUUACUCAAUCUAUAUGAAGUCCAGUGCCAGCAUGCAAAGAACCACUGGAUACAGCGCUUUUAAUAGACACAUAUUGGAUUGAUGGAUUGUGGUGAAUGCCAUGCAAGCUAUGUAUCUCAUCAGUGCGUCUCUAUA